This 253-nucleotide ribosomal RNA is filed under the name uncultured bacterium. RNAcentral describes it as "partial 16S ribosomal RNA". It matches the Rfam family "Bacterial small subunit ribosomal RNA", at positions 524 to 776 of the family's 1533-position model. The record is from RNAcentral.
UACGAAGGGUGCAAGCGUUACUCGGAAUUCCUGGGCGUAAAGCGUGCGUAGGCGGUUUGUUAAGUCUGUUGUGAAAUCCCCGGGCUCAACCUGGGAAUGGCAAUGGAUACUGGCAAGCUAGAGUGUGUCAGAGGAUGGUGGAAUUCCCGGUGUAGCGGUGAAAUGCGUAGAGAUCGGGAGGAACAUCAGUGGCGAAGGCGGCCAUCUGGGACAACACUGACGCUGAGGCACGAAAGCGUGGGGAGCAAACAGG